This 253-nucleotide unclassified non-coding RNA is filed under the name uncultured Solibacteraceae bacterium. Its description in RNAcentral is "contains 16S-23S intergenic spacer region". It matches the Rfam family "Bacterial small subunit ribosomal RNA", at positions 524 to 776 of the family's 1533-position model. Lineage: Bacteria; Pseudomonadati; Acidobacteriota; Terriglobia; Bryobacterales; Solibacteraceae. The record is from RNAcentral.
UACGUAGGCAGCAAGCGUUGUUCGGAAUUAUUGGGCGUAAAGAGCUCGUAGGCGGUUUGCCAAGUUUGAUGUGAAAUCUCCCGGCUUAACUGGGAGGGUGCGCCGAAUACUAGCAGGCUAGAGUACGGGAGAGGAAAGCGGAAUUCCUGGUGUAGCGGUGAAAUGCGUAGAUAUCAGGAGGAACACCUGCGGUGUAGACGGCUUUCUGGACCGAAACUGACGCUGAGGAGCGAAAGCGUGGGUAGCAAACAGG